This 517-nucleotide ribosomal RNA is filed under the name uncultured bacterium. RNAcentral's name for it is "bacterial SSU rRNA". It matches the Rfam family "Bacterial small subunit ribosomal RNA", at positions 993 to 1509 of the family's 1533-position model. The record is from RNAcentral.
GAACUUUCCAGAGAUGGAUUGGUGCCUUCGGGAACUUAGAUACAGGUGCUGCAUGGCUGUCGUCAGCUCGUGUCGUGAGAUGUUGGGUUGAGUCCCGCAACGAGCGCAACCCUUUUCCUUAUUUGCCAGCGGGUCAUGCCGGGAACUUUAAGGAUACUGCCAGUGACAAACUGGAGGAAGGCGGGGACGACGUCAAGUCAUCAUGGCCCUUACGGCCAGGGCUACACACGUGCUACAAUGGUCGGUACAAAGGGUUGCUACCUCGCGAGAGGAUGCUAAUCUCAAAAAGCCGAUCGUAGUCCGGAUCGCAGUCUGCAACUCGACUGCGUGAAGUCGGAAUCGCUAGUAAUCGCGGAUCAGAAUGCCGCGGUGAAUACGUUCCCGGGCCUUGUACACACCGCCCGUCACACCAUGGGAGUUUGUUGCACCAGAAGUAGGUAGUCUAACCGCAAGGAGGACGCUUACCACGGUGUGGCCGAUGACUGGGGUGAAGUCGUAACAAGGUAAGCGUAGAUGA